GGGUGUCUGUGCUCGUGUAGCCAUUGGUCAGGUCCUUCUGUCUGUUCGCUGCAAGGAUAGCAACAGCCCUCAUGCUCAGGAGGCUCUACGCCGUGCAAAAUUUAAGUUUCCUGGUCGUCAAAAGAUUAUCGUCAGCAGGAAAUGGGGAUUUACCAAGUACAAUCGAACUGACUAUCUGCGAUGGAAGUCUGAGAACAGGAUUAUGCCUGAUGGUGUGAAUGCCAAGCUUCUUGGAUGUCAUGGACCUUUGGCGCUAAGGCAACCUGGAAGAGCAUUUGUGGAUGCAGCUACUCUGUGAUGAGUUUUAUUGGAAUUUGAAUGUUGUUGCUUUCUGAGUACACAGAGAUUUUGCUUUUGUUUAUCUGGAUCUUCUUUGUUUCAGACUUGUUAGUUAACAUGUUGAAUACAUAACCUUUCAUUUUUGUCUCGAAUUUGUUUGGUGAUAGGUUUUUUCUCACGCCGGCGCCGGAAUUGACACUGUGGCAGCCGAAAUUGAUAUGUGGUAAAUUUUUUUAAAAAAACCACCUCAUCAUCUUCCCCAACCCCCCCUCCCCACUCCCAAACCCUAAUUUUCCCAUCUUCCCAAACCCGCCGCCCCUGUUGCCACCAUCGCUGCCAGUCGCCCCCUUACUCUCCCCAAACCCGUCGGCCCUCCCCCUCCCCAGAUCUAUCCUUCUUUCUCUAUCUCCCAAAAUCGGCCUGCCGCCACCAUCGGGCCAGAGAGUUCCAACAGCGAUUGAGAUAGAGGCGGCCCAGUUGGAAAUCGAGAGAUGAGGACGGACUCACCUGUGUGGCGAUCUGCGACCAAGGAAAACGCGACGGCGUCGAACCAGGGCAACGACCUGCAAUUUCAGGCGAGAGGGUCAGGGCUCAUCUUUUGCCUCGAAGUGUGAGUGGCAUCGGAGGCGAGGCGUGGCCUCACCGGGAAUCCAAAGGCCAAUUGAACUGCGAUCUCAUGGCGGGGCCAUCAGUCUCGCCGGAAGAUUCAGCCGAAGCGGCGGAUUUCUUGGGGAGUUAGGAUUCAAUUGUCUUGAAAGGAAAAUAUGAGAGAGAGAGAGAGAGAGAGAGAAAGAGAGAGGACUUUGUCGUGAAGUAGCAGCUCGUCCCAGCGACGUGAAGGCAUGCUCGCCGGCGGUGGCGGCGGCAGAGGUGGUGGCAGCGGGGUGGGGGAGGGGAAUUAGGGUUUUGGCAUGGGGGAAGGAAUAAGAAGAAGGGGUAUUUUCGUAUAUAUGUAUUUUUUAAUGCCACAUGUAAAAAAAAUUCAAGUGUCAUUCUGGUUGCCACAGUAGUCAAUUCCGGCGCCGGCAUGAGAAAAACUAAUUAUCGGACAAAUUCGAGACAAAAUAAAAGCUUAUAUAUUUAAAAGUAAAAAAAUAAAAUUAAGUGCAAAAACCAAUUUCAUGUAAACAUUAUGGAUUUACAGGCAAUUAACCCUUAAUUAUAUGCUUGCAAUUUGUUGACUAACCAUAGAAAUGCGAUUCACAUUUUAUCCAAUCAAGCUAUAAUGAAAGAGUGAUUCACACGUUUUCAAAUUUUAUAGUCAUCUCAUUGUGCUCUCAACAGCAUUUACCGUGAAAAGAUAUUAAUCUUUAUAGAUAAGAAUAGUGAGAUCAAUCUUUUAUUUAUUUAGAUGUAUUUAAAUUUUGGAAAAUUUUAAAUUUUUUAAUUAUUUUUAUUAUUUAAAUUUGUUUUGCUUGAAUCUUAAUUAUCUUAUUAAAAGUGAGAUUGGAGAAAUUUUAUUUUUGAAAAUAAAAUACCCAAUCAUGUUAAAUUUAUAUUAUUGAAUUGUGAAAGGUAUAUUACCUUUCUAAUUUCUUGAACUCUGAGUUUGCAUUCGCCGUCAUCAAUAGAUAAAUGAGUUUGCAUUCUCGUAGCAUUUUCAUCUCAUGUUCUUCAUUACUCAUUCUAAGAUCAAAUGUUUUUCAUUUCUCGGUCAAUUUGUGUAAUUUGAUUGUUUAUUAACUUCAUAUAAUCUUAGUACAUCAUACCAAACAGCAUACUCUCUCCGUCCAUGAAAAAUAUGACACUUUUACCAUUUUUGACGUCCACCAAAAGGAUAGCACAUUCCUUUUAAAAUAUAGUCCCGCGUCUUUUCCUUAACUUUUAUCCUUACAAAUACUUCUUAUUUACAAAAAAAAUCGUCUCAAAUUCAAUCUCAACCACACAUCUCAUAAAAAUAUUGGGACCCUUUCUCCACUACAUCAAAAUCGUGGGACCUUUUAUCCGCUACACAAAAAUCAUCACCAAUUUAAUUUAUUAAAACUUGUGCCCACCAAAAGUGUUAUACUUUUUGUGGACGGAUGGAGUAUUAUAUUUUAUAGAUAUUUUAAUGCAUUCUACCAAACAUAAUAUUAGUAUGACAUAUAGUGAAAGACAUCCUAGUCAAACAUAUCACACCUUAUCUCAUACUGCAUAUCAAACGAGUCUCAAGUGGUGGGAUCGAUAUCAUAACGAGUGCUAUGAGGGAAGAAAGAUUUAUAAACAUAAAUAAUAUAAAGCAACAAAAUAAUACAAUUUAUAAAUAAAUGACUUACACAAUUAGACUCCACCUUAUGAUACCAAAUAAUUUUCCAAAACUUCACCAACGAUAGACUGUUAUAUGUGUACGCACUGCACAUUACUUGGAUGUGAGUACUGACACUAAUCACUCAACCCCUCAAUAAACAAGUGUCUACUACUCUUUGAGAAUGUACACUCAAUAGUAUUUAAUCUUUGAGAACACUAUACUACUUAAACAAAUACAUGAACUGAUAUAUACUAGGAAGAGUUACAAUGGUAGAAUCCGGGGAAACACAUUGGAGGAAUAAAAGACACUCGACACUACAUUGUGUAAGAUUAAUUCAAUUUAGCACGAAUCCCUCCCCCACCUCCCCCAAACCCUUUUGAAAGAAAAUGAGUCUUCUUUAAUAGUGCUGAAGUCCUAAAUCUUCUCUUGUAGCUCAAGAAAUAAAAUUUCUUUGUUGAAAUAGAUCUUUGACUUAAUUGUAUAAUGACUUUCUUUAUAAAUAAACUUCUCUCGUUGAGUAGAUCUUCAUAUCAUGUAUGUUAAUUCAUAUUUCAGCAUAGUUUACAAUAAGGAUGAGAUCAUAUUUUGUUGAUUUUCUUUUAUCGUACAAAUAAGAGAAUUGUCAUAUAUAAGAAACAUUGUGUGUUAGACUCUUAAAGACACUCGUAUCUCAAAAAAUACCGGGAACAAAAAUCUUUAUUUACACAAUUAACAAUCUUCCCUAACAAUGACUAUAGUCCUAUGUUGCAUAGGUACGGAGGUGUGGAUGCGGGGGCGAUACGAUACGAGUACGGGGAUACGAGUUUUUAAAAAUUAUAGGGUGCGAUUUGGCAAUGAUACAUCUAAUUAUUAAAAUUUUAUGAUAUAUAAUGCUUAUAAAAUAUAUACAAUUUAAAUUUUCUUAAAUUAAUUAUAUGUAAUUUACAUUUUAUUUUACCCAAAAGUUAAGCAUUUUCAAUUAUAUAAGUUAAUUGAGCAACAAUAUAAUGAUUCAAAUAUUAUUAGUCCAAUAUAUAAGUCAUAACUGAAAAUAAAAUUAUCAAAAUAACCUUCUGUAGGCCUUUCGCGCACGAGAUACGUGAAUUUCGCCUAUGGAAUUUGCGAAUCUGGUUUAUUUUAAUAAAUUGUUUUAAAAGAUACGCCACGUGGCGAAUCGGGUGCGAAUCCGACGAGAAUCCGAGAGAAUCGCAUCCUAAAAGAAUCCAAUUCGCCGUACAUACUAAUUUUUGAAGAAUCCGUGCAUCAUAGCUAUAGUCUAUAGGUAGCAUUUUCAUCAAAGGUUCGGGUGGCUCAUAAAUUUAAAAGUUAUACUGUAAUUUGAAGUAUAUCCAAUUAAUUUUUUUUGAACAUGUGAAUUCCACUAGUAAGAAGUCAUUAGAUAUCUUUCCCACCACAAGAUGUUUUUUAAUCGAAAAGAAACUUUACAAAAAGUUGGAAAUAAUUAAUAAAGAAAUAUAUUUGUGAUAAACACUUCUAAUAAUAUAAAGCAUAAUAAAUCUUUAAUUUCCUAAUAUGUCGAAAUAUUAUAAUCUGAAUUAUUGCACUGAGAAUGACAAGAAACAACUUCAUUAAUAUGGGUCACAUUUGGAAAAGCAAACGUAAUGUAGCUUAAUAGCUCCAUCCAUUUUGCUGUAAAAUCAAGUGAUUCCCAUUGAUCGUUGACUCUUGCGUUUCACGUGAGGAUAUGUAAAAAUAAAUAUUUUUGGAAAUUUAAUUUCAUUUUGAUACUAUAUUUUUAGCCUCAAUAUCAAAUUGAAAUAUAGAAUAACAAGAUGAUGCUUAUUCAUGCAUAUCCCGAUGCUUAUUUCUAUGCACAGUAACAUGAGAUGAGAUUCUUUGAGGUUUAAUCUCGUGUUGUAUUUCACUAAUUACAUGGUAUUCGUAAUGAUCUUAUUGUAUUGUAGACAACAAGGAUAUUCACAUUUAUUCCCAACCAAAUAGGUCGAGGUUCCUCUUUUUUUUUUUUUUUUCCUGAACCAUGAACUCAUAUCUCUAAUUUGAGGAAUAGCUGAUAUUCAAAUCUGUUCAUCAAUAUAUACAAGACUUUGCAAAAGACGCCAAAGAUUAGGCAACAAAAUUAGUCGAGUGUUACACGUGAACAAAAAAAAAAAAAAAAAAAAAACACAACAUAACUUUUUUGGACGAUACUCGAGCAUUUCUUGCAUCUCCAAAAACUGCCGACUCGUAAUUAUUAUUUUUCUUAAUUUUUUCGUCGACACAUUCUUAAUUAUGUUAUUUCUUUAAUUAUUUCUUCGUGUUAAAAAUAUUAUUUAUUUAUUUUUUAAAUAUUUUUAAAUUAAACAUGUUUAUAAUAUGGACAAUACAUGCAUAUAAAUCGAUGCAUAGUAAUAUAAACCCAUACAUGUCUUUUGGGAAAGUUCUAUAUUUUGAUGAUAUACCAAAAUUGAUAUACAAACCAAAACUCUUGAUAAUAUCUCAGGUUGUAAUUAGUUUAAGCUUAUGUGUUAGGAAGUUGAAUUUUUUUUUUAUAAGUACCAAGUCAAAGAAGAAUUCAAGGCGAAAUAUCAGUUGAUAAGCAAGAAAAAUGAUAUGACGAUCAACCUAACUGAAUAAUACAUACUCAGUUGAAGCUAGUGUAAAAUAUAAAUACCAAAGUCAAUCAAUUGGCACCACAAGAAAAGCUAUCGGACACCGACGGAAUUAAUUCCGUCACAGAAUAACAACCGAAUAACGACGGAAAUACACCUCUAUACUUAACGAUGGAUUUACCAACGGAUUUAACGACGAGUGUUGCCGGAAAAAUUUCCCGCGAAUUUACCGACGGAAUCACAGACGGAUCACCGAUGGAAAAUUACCGACGGAUUGAUCUCCGUCGUUAACCAUUUUUUUUUUAAUUUCUGCGAUUUUUAAAAUUACAGAUAGCGACGGAAACGCGUCCGUCGCUAUUAGCGACAGACGGUUCCGUCACUAAUAAAUCAUUUUGAAUAGCUAAAAAUAUUUUCUUUAAAAAUAGCGAUAGAAUUCAUGUUCGUCGCUAAUAGCAACAGACUCGUCUGUCGCUAUUCUGUUGCUGAGCCCUAAAAAAAACGCGAAUUUGACAGCCUUCUUGUUUAGUUUUUUCACAAAACCUUCACUUCUAUUUCUCAAAUUUUCCAAAUUUCCCCCCUCCGAUUACCCAUCUCCGGCGACCGGUCCUUCUCCUCCGCCACCCGCGUGCUCCCUCCCGUCGACUCCGUCCACGCCGCCGGCCGCGUCGGCCUCCUCCACAGCGCCGUUUCCUCCGCUGCCCGCGCCGCGCAUCUCCACAGCGCCUCGCCGGCGCCGUUUCCGCCGUGCCCCCGCGCCGCGCAUCACAUCUCCACAGCCAGGCUCCACACUCCCUCCCCGACGCCGUUUCCUCUGCUGCCAGGAUCCACAGGCGCUCACCGGCGCCGGAUUCCUCCACUGCCAGCGCCGCCAGCCACCUGCGGUCCUCCGCCGCCACCGGUCCUUCUCCUCCGCUGCCUGCGUCGCCAACCACCUGCCGCCGUCCGCCUCCACCGGCGACCGUCCGCUGCCUCCGAUUCCUUCCAGUCUAGGUUUGUAAUUUUUUUUUUUAAAUUUCCAUUAAUUAUUUGAAAUCCUAUUAUAUUUUAUUGUAAAUUUUGUAUUAAUAUUCUGUAAAAAUGUAUUUUUUAUUGAAUUGAAUUAUAUAAUGCUCAACAUAUAAUAUUUUUAUUGGAUUAAAUUUUUAUAUGCUCACUCACAUAAUUAUAAUAUUCUCACAUAUAGUAUUUUCAAGAACAUAUAAUAGUUUUAUAGUAUUGUAAAAUUCCCCUUCAAAAAUGUCUUUUUUAUUGGAUUAAAAAUGUCUUUUUAGUGUAAAUUUUCUUUAAUGAGAUGAAGAAAAAAUAAACUUGAUUGAAUUAUAGUAUUUUCAAGAAAAAUAAACUUGAUUGUUUAUUUUAUUAAAUUAUAAUUUUAUAUACUUUGGUUCUUGAAUAAUUAUUAUUAUUUCUUUUUUUUUUGUUUUGGAUUAAUUCUCAUUUGUAGUAUUUCACUCCACCAUUGCUUCUUGAGGGAGAAAAAGAAAGUUAAGGUGAACAAAAAGAAAAGACUAGUGACAAAACAAGUAUGUUUUCAUUACAUUAUCUUUUGUUUUGUUAGUAUGGCUCAAAUGGUAGCCAUGGUUAGAUUUUAAAAUUUUAGAUGAGCAUGUAUCUAAGUGUGUUUAUUCUUUUUUUAUAUAUAUUUUAGAUGAGCAUGUAUCUAGGUAGUAAAUGGAGAUUAGGUUGGGGGAUGGCUGUGUUCCAUCCCAUUUUGUUGCUAUGGUGAUGGCUUGGAGCCGCGUAUGUGUUUUUGUGUUUGAUUUAUAGAUUUUGUGUUGAACAUGUGUCAUAUAUAUAUUAUUGUAGGAAAAGAUGCAGGAAUUAGUUGCUUCUCAGAGUCAGCCUGUGGAUGAUGAUUCUGAUCCACCAGAGAUCGAUAUGAACAAGGUGUAUGUGGGGGCUGUUGGAGGACUCGACAAGAAGAAGAGAAUGUUUGGAGUUGGUGGACUUGCAGCAAGCUAUAGGAGCAGUGAGCAGUCGGUGGUACAUCUCAGUUCCAUGGCCAUACUGUCGAUCCACAGCGACUUGUGGACAUGGAGCAGCAGUUGCACGAUGCCUUAGCGGAGAUAGCACGUCAGAAGGAGAAGAUGAGGCAGAAAGAAGAGCAGACCGAUGCUCGAGGACGCUCAGCAGCGUAUGCUCGACCAGAUAUUGGCUAGGCUUCCACCUGGAUCUACGGGACCCACUCCACCCAUCGGACCAUCAUCUUGAUUAUUAUGUUGUGUUUCUGUACUUUGAAUACUUGAGUAUUUCUAUUAUGUUUCUUAACACUUGAAUAUUUUGUUGUGUUAUGACUAUAUGAAUGAAUUUUAGAAUUUUAAUAUUUUAUUGAUUUUAUGUUUUUGGUGAUUGGUGUAUUGAUAAUAUAGUAGAAUAAAAGUGUAUAACAGGACGUCAAUAACUGGGUAGAGCAAAUUAUAAAUUUUUUAUUUUUUUUAAAUCAGCGACAGAAUUGAAAUCCGUCGUUAAAUAUGGAGCGGACAAAUAGCUACGGAAUUUCAGUCCAUCGCUAUUUAGCGACGAAAUUUCAGUCCGUCGCUAUUUAGCGACGGAAAAUUCCGUCGCUGUUUUUUGACAACGCCUUCGUCGUCGUUCCCCGCCGACGGCCGCGCUGUCGUUGUCUCCGUCAAAAAAUUAGCGACGGAAAUAAAAUUCCGUUGGUAUUCAAUUUAGCGACCACUUUUACGACGACAGACGGCCUCCGUCGGUGAUUAAAAAUAGCGACGGAAAUUUGGAGAUUAGCAACGGAAAAUUCCGUCGCUAAUCGCCCAGUUUCUUGUAGUAUACAAGAGACGACUAGAGCCACCUCAGACUACUCAAGCAUGAAGUUGCUGAAAGUACUCUAUUGAACUGUACAAAUCUAACACUAAAUCCUCAGAUAAUUUGAAGGUUCGAAGAUUGUGUAUGAUGUUGUAGAACUGAUAUGACAUCUCACCAACCGCCAACAUAAAGAUUUUCAACGGCCAAAUAAAGGACUUUUUGGAACGAGCUCUCCAACGACUCUUUCUUGAUGAUCUCCUAUAUAUACCCAGGGGUUCAACACAAUCAUACUGAAACUCUACGUGAUCAAAAUCUAGAAGUAUUCUAAAGCCCCCAAGCUCAAGAACAUCUUUUCAGAAGAACUUUCAAAGAAAAUGAAAUAUUCAAAGCUCAAAGAUCUCUGAAGCCAUCAAGUGUAUUUUCCAUAGUGAUUAGGCAAAUAUUUCUUGUUAACUUUAGCCUAGUCAUUCGAGCAAAUUGAUCUUGUUGUAAUGUUAUCAUUGGAACAGUUUGCUCAACAUAGUUUAAAAUUAUCGCAACUCGAUCCUAGCCAGUGAUAGUGUAGGACGAGUAUUUACGACUAAAUAAAGAAGUGGAUAUAGAAGAUAGAAAUUAAACCAAAUAUCAUGCGAAAACAAACAAUAAGUAUAAACCAAUAUCAAUCAACAUGCAAGCUUAUAACAUCCUAAAUCAACAUAAACCAUAUCUCGAUGAGCAAUAAAGAGUCUCAAUAAGGCAGUGAGCUAUCAACAGAACUUGCAUAUAUAUAGACUUAAGCAUAAAUAAAUUCAUCGUUCAAUUCCCUUUAUAGGAUUACAACAAGGUUCCAAAAUCACAGUAAAAAACACUAUAUAUAUGGGACGGAUGCACAUUUCCUAGUAUGGGGGUACGUAGGGGCGGAUUCAGGAUUUAAUGUUAGGGGAGGUUGAAUUUGUUGAAUUACGACGUCUAAAAAUAUUUACACGGGGUUCGGGGGCGGAGCCCCCGAAGUAAUUUUUUUGGGCAUUUCGUACAAUAUAUUUUCAUGUAUUUUUUUAACAAUCACUUAAUAUAAUAGAUAAUUAUUCGCAAUUCAACAUCAACAUCAACAUCAACAUUGAGAGUUGAGAUUUGAGAAGAUAAUGGAGAACUUUUGAAUUAAUCAAAUAGAUGAGAGAAGAAUGCUUCUGCUUGGGAAUUCGCAAACUUCACAUUAAUUCUUUUAAUGUUUGGAAUUGGAGCAGACUGCAAGACUCGCACGUCAACUUAUAGUUAUAUGAGAAAUGAGCUGGACUGUGCUAGUAUUAAAUUAAAUAUACAUAAUAUAUAUAGGGUAAAGGGUUGGGCUUGCACUGGGCUCUAGCCAUAGAGUAGGUCCGCCCCUGGGGGUAUGUGCCCUCACAAUUUUUUUCUUUAUUGUUAUGAAUUAUAUACGUAUGUUUAUAUAAGUUUUAUUAUAUUUCAAUCCUAAAUUCCAAAUCAAUAUGUGCACUCACUUCUUAUUGUUAAUUUUUUUUAGUCGAAUUCUUAUUGUUGUUAUUAAUUAAAUACAUAUAUUUAUAUUAUUAUAUCUCAAUCCUCCCAAAUUUUAUAUAUCCCAUUAUUCAAUUCUGAAUCUCAAACUAACAUAAUUUUUUUGAAUGUAUUUUAUGUACUUCAUUCAUCCCUCAUAUUUAUGCCUACAUUUUCUUUUUGGUACGUUUCCCAAAUUUAUCCACAUUCUAUUUUUAAACACCACUCCAUACAUAAUUUUCAUAAUUUACCCUUGUAACAUACAUUAUUCACCCACAAUCUACGUAACAAUAUCCUUAAUGUGAUAUCCUUUUUUCCACUAUCAAUACUUUAAAUAUUUUUUUAUUAAAACAUGUACAGAGAACACCUAUACAUAUUUAUGGGGGACGGAGGGAGUAUACAAUUUUGGGCCCCAUAACAAAAAAAAUUCUGGAUCUGUCCCUAUAUAUAUAUAUAUAGGGUGUGGUUCUAGAGAGAACUACAUUAUUUGUGAGAACGGGAGAACCAUCAAAUCUAAUGCAUCAACUGUAAAAAUUAAUGCAUUCGCUGUUAAAAUUAAUGCACUAAAAAAAUAAAAAAAAAAUGCUCCCUUCAGGAUUCGAACCCAGGAUCUGCAUUCAUCCAACAAGAUGAUGCAUCCACCGUAGAUCUUGAUGAUCGAAUGGCUGAAAAUGGUUCUCCGGUCUUCUUUUAUUUAUGGUUCUUUUUUGAACCUCUCCCUAUAUAUAUAUAUAUAUAUAUAUAUAUAUAUAUAUAUAUAGUAGGUAGGUACUAUUGAGAAAGACAAAUAUUUAAAGAAGUGAGAAACAAUUAUUGAUGAACAUAUCAAUAAUUGUGACGAACAUGUAAGUAAUUUUUUAUAAACGGACGUAUUUGUUGAAAAAAUGUAUUUGUUUAAAAUUUCGCACUCCAGGAUUCGAUCUUCAAACGUUCAAUAAAAUUAUUGCUAUGUUCAUAAAAAAACUAUUGGCAUGUUCAACGUUUCUAACUUUCAGAAAAAAAAAUUAAUUUCUCCAUAGAACCUAACCCUAUAUAUAUGUGUGGGGGGGGGCGCUAAAAUAAAACACCUCUUAGAAUAUAAAUAGGAACCAUUUUCAGCCUUUAGAUCAUUAAGGUCUACGGUUGAUUCAUCACCUUAUUGGAUGAAUUCAUAGUCCCGAGUUCGAAUCUCAUAAGUAGCAAAAGUAAUUAUUUUUCGCAAUUUAUACAAUUACACUAUGAAUUCAUAUGUGUUAUACAUAAAAUUCAUACGUUUUAGACAGAUCGUAUUUUAUAUGUUAAAAAGUGUUUAUAUUUUAAUCUCCCCUAUAUGUGUGUGUGUUUUUAGGAUAAAUUUUGUUUCAAUGAACCAAUCGGCAAUUACAAGCAACAGAUAAGAACGAAAAUUUCAAAAUUAUACUACAAUUUUUUAUUUCAAUAAAAUUGUGAAUUUUAUCUUUUUCUUAUAGUCUGCAAAUGCAAUGUUUACAAUGCAAGAAAAGCAUUACUUUAAUUAUAGGGGUAAUUGCCUGUAAAUUCAUAACGUUUACACGGAAUUGGUUUUUACUAUUAAUUUUAUUUUUCUACUUUUAAUACAUAACCUUUCGGCAUUUGUCUUGAAUCGGGGAGCCGAGCAGACUCAUCGCCAUGGGGAGAAGACCUGCAAGGUGCUAUCGUCAAAUCAAGAACAAACCCUACCCAAAGUCACGAUUCUGUCGUGGUGUGCCUGAUCCCAAGAUCAGGAUUUAUGAUGUGGGAAUGAAAAGAAAGGGUGUUGAUGAAUUUCCUUUCUGUGUGCAUUUGGUCAGUUGGGAGAAGGAAAAUGUUUCAAGUGAGGCACUCGAAGCAGCACGUAUUGCAUGCAACAAGUACAUGACAAAGUUUGCUGGAAAGGAUGCUUUCCAUUUGAGAGUGAGGGUUCACCCAUUCCAUGUUCUUCGUAUCAACAAAAUGUUGUCAUGUGCCGGGGCUGAUAGGCUCCAGACUGGAAUGAGGGGUGCUUUUGGAAAGCCCUAGGUGUCUGUGCUCGUGUAGCCAUUGGUCAGGUCCUUCUGUCUGUUCGCUGCAAGGAUAGCAACAGCCCUCAUGCUCAGGAGGCUCUACGCCGUGCAAAAUUUAAGUUUCCUGGUCGUCAAAAGAUUAUCGUCAGCAGGAAAUGGGGAUUUACCAAGUACAAUCGAACUGACUAUCUGCGAUGGAAGUCUGAGAACAGGAUUAUGCCUGAUGGUGUGAAUGCCAAGCUUCUUGGAUGUCAUGGACCUUUGGCGCUAAGGCAACCUGGAAGAGCAUUUGUGGAUGCAGCUACUCUGUGAUGAGUUUUAUUGGAAUUUGAAUGUUGUUGCUUUCUGAGUACACAGAGAUUUUGCUUUUGUUUAUCUGGAUCUUCUUUGUUUCAGACUUGUUAGUUAACAUGUUGAAU
RNAcentral lists this long non-coding RNA (11704 nucleotides) under Salvia miltiorrhiza (redroot sage). RNAcentral's name for it is "long non-coding RNA (SMIL_LNC007491)". Lineage: Eukaryota; Viridiplantae; Streptophyta; Magnoliopsida; Lamiales; Lamiaceae. The record is from RNAcentral.